GUCUUCGUAGUGUAGUGGUCAGCACGCUCGACGCGUAACCGAGAGGUCCGUGGUUCGAUUCCUGGCGAAGGCG
This 73-nucleotide transfer RNA is filed under the name Stegodyphus mimosarum. It matches the Rfam family "tRNA". Rfam says of the family: Transfer RNA (tRNA) molecules are approximately 80 nucleotides in length. Their secondary structure includes four short double-helical elements and three loops (D, anti-codon, and T loops). Further hydrogen bonds mediate the characteristic L-shaped molecular structure. tRNAs have two regions of fundamental functional importance: the anti-codon, which is responsible for specific mRNA codon recognition, and the 3' end, to which the tRNAs corresponding amino acid is attached (by aminoacyl-tRNA synthetases). tRNAs cope with the degeneracy of the genetic code in two manners: having more than one tRNA (with a specific anti-codon) for a particular amino acid; and 'wobble' base-pairing, i.e. permitting non-standard base-pairing at the 3rd anti-codon position. Lineage: Eukaryota; Metazoa; Arthropoda; Arachnida; Araneae; Eresidae. The record is from Rfam by way of RNAcentral.